GUGGUAAAAGUCAAUCUGCAGUAUAAAUCAGCUCAGUGCAUUUAAUAACAGAUAGGGAAAUUCCCAGAAACAGACCAGCUCUAUUACUGUCACAGUCUUCCACCAUGUUGAUGUUACUUCCUGAUAUUUCAUACAUAUUCACUUGCUCUGCUUCCUUUUUUUUUUUUUUGGUUCUGUUCAACAGUCAGUGGUUACAUUAGGACUUGAGAACACAAAAUGGAGUGGAAGAGAUGGGGAAAAACAGACUCUCAUAAGCAAUUAAGCUCCUUCGGAACAGCAGAAAGAAAAAGAAAAAG
This is a long non-coding RNA of Oxyura jamaicensis (ruddy duck), 296 nucleotides long. RefSeq lists it as uncharacterized. Lineage: Eukaryota; Metazoa; Chordata; Aves; Anseriformes; Anatidae. The transcript has 2 exons. The record is from RefSeq and is a predicted model, not a curated record.